CCAUGAAGGGCUUGUGCCUCUUCGUAAAGAAGGCCCUAUUCAUGAUGUUCAAUGGUCCUAUUCGGGUAAAGAAUUUGCAGUUGUUUAUGGAUUUAUGCCUGCUAUGGCCACGGUUUUUGACAAGAAGUGCAAUCCUCUACUUGAGCUUGGAACAGGCCCAUACAACACUAUCAGAUGGAAUCCAUUGGGGAAUUUUAUAUGCUUGGCAGGCUUUGGUAACUUACCAGGAGACAUGGCAUUCUGGGACUACAGGGAAAAGAAGCAACUUGGAACUACAAGGGCUGAAUUGUCAGUGACAAGUGAAUGGUCUCCUGAUGGUCGAUACUUUAUGACUGCCACAACAGCUCCACGUCUUCAAGUUGAUAAUGGGGUUAAAGUCUUUCACCACAAUGGAUCAUUGUACUUCAAGAAGAUGUUUGAUAGAUUGUAUCAGGUUGAUUGGAAGCCAGAAUCAGUUGAAAAAUUUGGAGACAUUGAAGACCUUGUGAAGGCAGUUAGCUCGGUGAAAAUAGAUGAAGCGAAAGUGCCAGGGAAAGGAUCGAAAGCUACGCAGGCCGCUCCAAAAGCUACACAGGCCGUUCCAAAAGCUACACCUGCCAAUCCUCCUGCAGCAAAACCUGCUGCUUAUCGUCCACCUCAUGCCAAAGCUGCUGCUGUAGUUCAAGCAGAGUUAUUUGGAGCAAGUCCUUCAGGGGAGCUUAGCAAGAAUGCAUUGAAAAACAAGAAAAAGCGGGAGAAGAAAAAGCAAGCCGAGGCUGCAUCUGCAGCCGGAGGUUCGUGAUCAGAGGCAACUCUGCUGAAUAGGCUGUCUUGACAUGCACAAAACAAAGGGGCCUAAAGUAACAGGAGGUUUUCAUGGACCAUCAUACGUCCUGGGAGAUAUUUGAUUUGGUUUAAGAUAAUCGAAAAUAUCACCUAGUACAUUACAUAAAGCAAAUUUUUGAUUCAUAUAUUCUUUUUUAAAAUAUAGUUUUCAGCCCCUGUACUAGAGCUGAAACAAAAUUCACCUUUUUGAGUCUAACCCUG
This 1026-nucleotide unclassified non-coding RNA is filed under the name Hevea brasiliensis (rubber tree). Lineage: Eukaryota; Viridiplantae; Streptophyta; Magnoliopsida; Malpighiales; Euphorbiaceae. The record is from RNAcentral.